Long non-coding RNA from Columba livia (rock pigeon), 9227 nucleotides. RefSeq lists it as uncharacterized. The transcript has 4 exons. NCBI's taxonomy places the organism in Eukaryota, Metazoa, Chordata, Aves, Columbiformes, Columbidae. The record is from RefSeq and is a predicted model, not a curated record.
GGGUUACACAGCCGCAUCAAAGGAGCUUCAUGUCCAUUGCACUCUCCGUGCCCAGCAAGACUACGAAGGGAUUUAAAUCAAGUGAAUUUGUGUAGAGCUCAUUAAAAUGCAAAGCACUCCAAGGAGCUGGUAAGAGAAACAAAUAUAUUUUAGAAACCCCUAGGCAUAAUAAGGAAGGAGGGAAGGAAGGAAGGAAGGAGAGAAGGAGGGAGGGAGAGAAGGAAGGAAGGAAGGAGGGACGGAAGGAAGGAAGGAGGGAGGGAUGGACGGAAGGAAGGAGGGACGGAAGGAAGGAGGGAAGGAAGGAAGGAAGGAAGGAAGGAAUUAGUUUGGAAGUGCAGCAUCCUCUGGUUUCUGUUCUGGUUCCUGCAAUUUCUCCGGUUCUGAAAUUUCUCUAAUUAACUACAUAAGAUUUGAAGGUUAAAGGAAAAUUAUGCUCAGUCUUGACUGUGAUACAGAAAAGUCAACAAACAGACUCCUUAACACUGUUUUGAAAUUGUAAAAAAGCAGACUUUUAUUACAGUAUGCUAGACGCUUGGAGGAUUGUUCCUCUAAGUGAGCACACAUGUGAUUCACACUUCUUGAUAUUUAUUACAUAUUACCUAUUGCAUAGUCUUUUGUUUCUACUGCUUAGCUAAUGCAUUAAACAUAAAUUAUUUCCAUAACCCCGCCCCUUGCUGACAGUCCAUCAUUGGUAUUCCAGAGUCUUCAGCAGGGUCUCUAGUGGUCCCUGGUGUCUUCACAGCUGGUGCCCCCAGCGUCAGCUCCUGGACCUGAUUUAUUGAGCAUGCAUUUGUCAUUUUGUGCUGCUACCCAGCAAAGUGACGCAGCUCCUUCUUCAUUCAGUGGAACAAUCCGCUUUCCCAGCUUGCAGGCCAAGGACAUCCCACUUUGCCUCCUACAGUCUCUAUAGAGCUCUAGAUGAGGUUUCGGUUACAUUAUGCCUAGGGGUUUCUAAAAUAUAUUUGUUUCUCUUACCAGCUCCUUGGAGUGCUUUGCAUUUUAAUGAGCUCUACACAAAUUCACUUGAUUUAAAUCCCUUCGUAGUCUUGCUGGGCACGGAGAGUGCAAUGGACAUGAAGCUCCUUUGAUGUGGCCGUGUAACCCCCUGCAACUCAGGACCGGUGCUUCUUCACACCCAGCAGCAGAGAGGUUACAACCUCCUUCUGUUUUCCUCAACAUUUGCUCAAACUCAGAACCAGUGGGAACCAAGCAGGUCCUCUUCAUCUGAUUUCAACUAGAGAGAAAGAAACUGUAAUGAGAGAUGCCCCUUUCUGCAGAUUGGGCUGAACUUUGUCAAGCUCUAAAUGGAUGUAAGAAAACAACUUGCAGAGGUGCUGCCAGGCUGCUCCAGCCCCGGGCUGAGCAGCUCGCCCCGGACCACUCUGGUCCCUUCGGCGGGAUGUGCCCUGGGGACAGAGGAGCGAGGCCGAGACGGGCAGGAGCAGCCCGGGGCGAGGGAAAGGCCCGUCUCUCUGUGGCUCUGGCGACGUUUCUAGUCAGGCCGUGCACAGACAGCCCGUUGCUAUGGCAGCCAGGGGCUUUCCAUGGCCGGACCCGCGCGGCGCAGCCCCUGUGGCUAUGGUAACGGGUCCUUCACUGAGGGCGGCGCUGAGCGGCGGCGGGGCCGGGCGGGAGUUCGGCGCGGCCGGUGGGUGACGGGCCGGUUACCCCGGUUCCCCCGGGUGGGCAGUGGGAGCCGUUGGAGGACCUUGGUGAAGGUGCAGGAGACCCACGGCCAACGGGAGGAGAUGCUGCGGCAGGAGAAGGAGCAGUGGGUGGCCCAGCUGCUGUGGCAGUGACAGGACACGGCGCAGGAGUGGGCAGAGCUGCUGGUGCAGCACCAGCCACACCUGACUGCGCUGGAGGUCUGGGCACCUUCAUGUUGCCCAGGAUGAUGGGCCCCAACCACCGUGCAAACAGCUGCCAGCCCCUGCAAUUCCAUGAAGUGAAAGUCAGUGGGAUCACUACAAUGCUGAUCUCACCAAGUUUGUAGAAGAAGUAAUAUCAGCGUUCUACAGUGGACAUUGAGCCAGAGGGUCUUCUGAAGACAUCUGAAUGGGGAGGAGACCAGUCCCUUGAAGUCAGACACUGUAUGGACAACCUUGCUCUUCACCCCCCCCAGUCCCACAAGUCCCCUCAUCAGCCACCUGGGACUUGCAUCACUUUUCCUCACAUCAGACUUCUUCACUGAGAUCUGCAGCUGGAUGGUGCAGCUCCUGUACACCAGCUCCCACCUUCUCUCCUUAGAGACCUGGCUGGGCACAAGCACUGAAAGGUUUCUGUUCAAUGCCAACAAAGAAAACAUAAACAGUACACAACUAAAUAAGCAGUAAACCACUUUCCUUAACUGUAUAUCUAAGCUGGGUUUACCCCGCAAAGACUUAAAGCAUAAAGAGAAGAUCGUUUCGUGUGUUGCACAGAGCCCGUGCCCCCAAAACCUUCCCUGCCCAGGACUUCUCAGUGUUUUCCCAGAGAGAGUCACGCUGAUCUGUUGACCUCUUUGCUGGUUAGGAUGUUGUUUUAGAUGGUCACCUGCAGCACUGGAGGAUUCAUGCCCCAUAAACAUCUGCCCUACUCCAGUCAGAAACAGGGUCCAACAUCAUCAUAGGAUAAGAGAACUGAGGUUGGAAAGGACAUCAGGAAGUCUGCAGUCCAACCUGUCAGAUGGACCAAGUUGUUCAAGGCUUGGUUGAGUCUGAGCUCGAAAACCCCCAUGAACAGAGACUGCAAACCCUCUCUGAGUUCCUGGCUGAGUACGUGGGGGAAAAGUUUUCCAUAUGUCGUGGCUGAAACUCUCUUCUUUCACCUUCCAACCAUUUUCUGUUGUACCUCUACCAUGCACCAUGGAUAAGAACCUGGCUCUGCGUUCUCCAUCACCUCCUCAUUGGUACUGACAGGCUGUGAUGAGGUCCCCGUCAACUUUCCUGUCUCUGGGCUGGACAAGCCCGGCUCCCUCAGCCUCUCCUCACAGGGAAACUGCUCCAGUCCCUCACUGCCCUGAGGGCCCUUUGCUAAACCCGCUCCAGCUUGCCAAUAUCUUUCCUGAAUUGGGAUCCGAAGUCUGGGUGGAGUAGUCCAGAGAAUCUGCUCCCUUGAUCUCCUGGUGGCACAGCCCAGGGUGCUCCUGGCCUCCCUUGCACCAGGGCACACGCUGCCUCCUGUCCAGCUCCCUGCCCACCCAGACCUUUCCCACAGGGCUGCUCCCAGCCAGGCAGCCCCGGCCUGUGCCACUGCCAGGGUGAGUCCCCUGCAGGGGCAGACACUGGUGUUAGUCCUGCUGGGGUUUCCUGAGGUUCCUGCCAAAGAUGUGUUUUCCUCGAAGCCCUUCACUGAGCACAGAGGCCUGGGAGGGUGUUUCAGUAAAGACCCAGGCACAGCAGGCAUUGAGUCCCUCAGCACCAGCAUCACACUCUGCUGUUAUUAAAUUCCCCUCAGCAGCAGCCCCGCAUUUCCCUUGUUCAGCCUUGGUCUCUAACACAGAUCUUGAAGCUCUUGGUUUGCUCCUUAGCUUUUCCUUUCCCAAAGUCACCCCUGCACAGCAAACGCAAUGUACAUAAACUCCAUAUCUCUACCUGUCCUUGCUGUCACCCCUGGUAGCUGCUUCAUGGCCCCUGUCUGCACCUUGUGCUGUGACAGCCCAGACCUGCUGCCCCACAGAUGGUCCCACAGCCCCACAGUGCAGGCUCAGCACAGGACAGAGUGCAUUUGGGGUGGGGAAUGGUCUUCCGAUGUGAUGCCCACAGCAGUCCUUGGUGCUUUGUCACCCAUUGCCUUCCUGUUGUGCAGCCUCUCCAAGCUCCUGGAGAGGCCGUGUCACCUGUGGGGUCACAGACAGCCCUGCUCCAGGGUCUGCAAGGGUCUGGGCCAGGAGAGAGGCUGGGCAGGGCUGGCCAUUCCCUGAGACAGGCCCUGAGCCCAGCAGGAGGAUGGAGAUGGCCUCACAGGGAACCUCACCCGUAAACCUGGGAUGAGCGGCCAGUGCUGGAAAUGGCCCAUGAGAGAUGGCCAGUGGUUGGGUGGUGCCUAAGGCCCUGGGCCACCUUCCUGGUCUGUCCAUGCCACCACGGGCACAGAGCAGCCUCCUCUCUCCUGCACCUGCAUGUCUUUGAUCCCUUCGACAAGCCCUGGCUCUGCACCACAGACCCUGGUGUGCAUCUUCACCCUGCAUAGCCCUGCAGCACGAUACACAGGCUGAUGUGUGUGAGCUCCCUCGAGGCUCUGCCACCUUCCCUGCCCUCUCUCUACCCCCAAUGCCCUCUCCCCAGCAAAGCCCAGUCAGGGCUGGUCCCACAUCAAUUCCCAGUGCAGGUGCUCUGGGCAGUCACCCCACAGCCUCUGCCCCUCUGAAGGGCACAGCAGCUCCUGGGGCUCAGAGAGGGGUCACCCCAUAGGUGGGUGAACAUGCAUUGCAAAAGGAAAAGGAGGCACCCUGUGUCCUUUGCUCUCCUCUCCACAUGAUCCUGAGAGGUCUGCACACCCUCAUGCCAUCCCGUCUCUGCAGGCCAGCACAAAAGCCCUGGCCCUUGAGGUCCUUAAGAGCUCUUACUGCUCCAGACACAGAGCAGCCUUCCCAAAGCUGGUGCAGCCAGAAAGCUCUUUUCAUUUCCCAUUCAUCCCUGACACAAUGAGGAUAGAUAUCAGACAAAAAAAAAAAAAAUUUGUGGCAGGUCCAUUUGUUUCAUUUUAAUACAAUGAGAGACUCCCCAUUUACACAUUUUCUGGGUCACACUACGUGGGUGGAUACUUAAGCAGGAAGGGAUGAACAGUGACAUUUCGUGGAAGACACCAAUAGUGCAAGUGAAAAAACAACAAAAAAAAUGUAAAGAAGGCAGACUUGGCCUGUCGUGACAUACACUGGGAGCCGUUUGCAGGCAGAAUCAGGCAGUCUAUGGCUGCUGAAAACAUCUAGUCAUCAGCUUCCUCAGUGCAUCUUUGAGCUCCUGGAUCCUCAUGCUGUAGAUGAGGGAGUUCAAUGUUGGAGGUACAUACGGGGACAGAAAUGCCAUCACCAGAUUCAGGGAUGGGGAGGAGAUGGUUGGGGGCUUCAGGCAGGCAAAUGCACCAGUGCUGACAAACAAGGAGACCACGGGAAAAAAAAAAAAAAAAGACCUGGCUAACACAUCCUGUGUAGGAGAUGGCCCUGGUGUCCCACAGGCCAUGGACUGGGGGACAGUGGCCCAGAUUGAGGAGUGAGAGGCUGAGGAGGAAGAAGUACAUGGGGGUGUGCAUGUGCUGGUCACAGGCUAUGGUGAUGAUGAUGAGGCCGUUGCCCAGGAGGGCAGCCAGGUAGAUGCCCAGGAAGAGCCAGAAGUGCAAGAGCUGCAGUUCCCGUGUGUCUGUGAAUGCCAGGAGGAGGAACUGGGUGAUGGAGCUGCUGUUGGACAUUUGCUACCUCUGAGCAUGGGGACUGUCCAAAGAGAAAAAGGUUAAGCUAGGUAAGGUUAAUUUGAGCAAAAUACCUUCAAUAUCUCAUAGAAAUCCCCAAACUGCCUUUCUUUCAAAAAGACUUUUGGCAAAGCACUUUUCAUGAGCUCUGCUUUGGUCUGAUUGAUGGUGUCACUGGGAGCAGGAGCUCUGCUGUAGGCUCUGCAGGAGUCAGUCCUGCCCCACAGCAAUAGGUAAACAGGAACAUAGGGUGAUCUCACAUUAAAUUCUCCUGUGAUAUUUAAGAGGUUUUCGGCAUUGUCACUCCCAGUUCACCCUACUGCAGAGCAAAUCUGAGGGGAUUUUUUUUUUUUUUUUUUACUUCUCAUUUGUGUUGCCCUGAACCUGCAGAUUAGGGGAGGACUUGGACACUUUACUCCCAUGGAUACCUCUGCAUGGCGGGACUCACAGAACUGGUCUCUGAACUGCAGCUUAACCCAAACCCCAUCCCAGAAGUUCCAGGGUUAAGAACAAGGUGAGCAAAGACAGGAGAGGAAAAAGGGACAAAUGCCACAGAGCUGUUGCUGAUUGAGCCAGGAGACAGACAGACAGUUGGGUGUUUAGUAAUUUCUCCUUUUGAGUGGUGAGGCUGAUGAGCACCCAUAGCCUUAAGAGAAGAGGUGGGAGAGGGCACCAGGAGAUUACUCCAUGUUAGGUAUCUGCACUGCAGGGGGGCAGGGAGGUUCCCAAACCACCAUCCCAUGGCAUUUGUGGGAGAACGUCUUUCUCCAUCCUUGCAUAUUUCUCUGCUGCCUGGAGCUUAUCCCUGCCAAGAGUUAUUUCUCUGUCCCUCUGUCUCUUCCCUUUUCUGUGCUCACAGAGCCCACCUCAUUCACUGUGUGCUCAGCUCUGCCCUGCAGACACCCCUGUCACUGGGGCACUGCCCAGGGGCAGCUCUGUGUGUGCAGGGGCUCAGGAGCAGCUCUGACAAGUCCUAACAAGAACUGGGAACUCAGUGUCUUUCAAGAACAGAGAAGUAAAUUCCCAUCUCCUGCUGCCCACCCAGCCAACCAAGAGUGGAAUAAGGAAAGCAGACUCCUUCCCUUUCAUCUGUUCCUGCCUUCAGAAAGAACCUCUGCAUUUGCUGUCAGGGUGAUCUGGAACUCUGAGCAGCCCUGUACCACACAGCACCCUCUCAACCCCAGAAGCACCCUUCCUGCCCUGCCAGAGGUUUCUCCUUCCACCCACAGCUUCUCCCCACAGCCCAUUGGGGAAAUUCCCGGGCAGGCUGAGCGCUGACCCUGGCAGGUGGCAGAGUCCCUGCCCAGCACACAGCCCAGGGGUGCAGGGACCCUGCUCUGCAGGACAGCCCUGGGCACCCCUGCGUGCUCACCCCUGCAGGCACCCUCAUCAGAAGGUGUCGUCGUGUCCUGUCGCUCUGACAGUGCAGUGGGUAAGCCCUGCUCUGGAGCAUGUUCUUCUCUGCAACAGAGAUACUGUGAGAGAAACCUGACAGAUCCUGUAAACUGUGGGAUGUACCAGCUUUAGGAGAUCCCUCCAGAAACCACAUCUGCAUUGUCCUACAACCAGAGACUUUCCAUGUUAACACUGUGAACAUUUGUCUCUCAGUGAGCUGUCAGCAUCCUCCCACUCCACGUUGCCUCUAACCUCUCUCUGCCUGUCUCCUCUGCCCUCGGUGCUGCAGGCAGAGCCCUCAGCCCUGCUGCAUUUGCAGAGGAGCUGCUGCUGGGCAGAGCUGUCUCUGCAGCGCUGCCACUUGCCAUGAGCUGUGACAUGGAUGGAAUAAACUGCCAUGGCAGUGUGACAGAAGUUACUUCAUCUCAUCUUCAAGGACAGCAGCCUCCAAGCACAGCAACAGUCCAGACUGAAACUCAGUCUAAACCUGUAAUGCAAUUCAAGGGCACAAUAAGGAGCUGUUAUUACUUCAGGAAGAAUUAAAGAAGGAACAAAGACACUGUGUGAUCAGUGCUGAAUUUAGUAAGUGAUAGAGGUGAGAAUCUCUGUGUCCUCUUGUCCUUCGUCUUCACCAUCAAGGUCUCCCAGGCCUCUGUGACUCGAGGAAGGAAUCUGGAGGAGAACAACCAGCAGUGGAUGGGGAUCAAGUCAGGGGUCACUUGAACUAACACAAUCCUUUCCAGUCUAUGGGACAGGAGGAGAAGCAUCCCACAGAGCUCAGAGACAGCAGGACGAUGUCACAGUGAGGCCACUCUCCACCAUCUUUGAAAGCUCAUGGAGACUGGGGCAACUCCAUGACUACUGUCAGCACUCACACGUUGCAUGCAUUUUUCAAAAAUGGCCAAUGAAUGUGCAGGGGAACUAAGGGCUGUGUCCCAGAGCGUGUCCACCGGGACCCCAUUUCUGGGUGUCUGGAAGAGAAGGUGAAGGGGUUUACCCAGGGCAGGUUGUGCCUGUCCAUCCUCUUUGCUUUCUGUGAGGAAAGAACAGGGUUGUGGAUGUGGGCAGAGCAGUGGUGGUCUGUUACCUGGAAGACAGGAAGGCACUCAGUGUCAUUCCCCACAACAUUCUUGUGUCCAAGGGAGGAUAUUAUGGUCUGUAUCGAUGUCUAAGUAAUGGUUAAAAAACAAGCAGGAUAGUUUGGGUUAGAAGAAUACCAGAUAAAGGGAGAAACUUUUCAAUCAUGAGCAUAGUCGGGUACUGGGAGCUGUUUCCCAUGGAGUGUGCACCCACUCUAUCCCAGAAAGCGACUAAGAUGUGCUUGGAUAAAGCCCUGAGUAAUCUGGUCUGACCCUGCUUUGAGCAGGAGAUUGGUCAAGAAACCUCCCAAGGCCUCUUUGAGUCUGAAUGAUGCUGUCCUUCCUUCCCCUUCAUGUUUUCAAAUUAGGGAGAGCUCUCACGUUCUCCCUGACUACAGAAAUAAUUUGCAUCAAGUACAGGACCGCUUUACAAGUACCUCCAAACCGUCCUGACCACAUGUUUUCCAUCCCUUUUCAUUUCCCCCGCCCCAAGUUCUUUUUUGCUAUGCUAAUACUAUUCCAAAAAGAACAGCCCACCUUGUUCAUCCUGUCAGAGCAGGUUGCUCAGUAGAUGUCAGCAUCCAUGUACAGAGUCUGCACAUCAGCGAGGCAUCAAAGCCACCAUUACAGAAAUGGAGACAAGCCUCUUGACCAGCUCCUUGAACCCAGGAAUCAGCACACCUUGUCUCCUGAGAUUGCCAAGAACACCUAAACUCUAAGUGCAGAGCAGAGUGAGUCCUCGUUGGGUAUCCUGGCUUGUCUCCUGACACAUGUGGUGCUUCAGGCUGUGAAGAGAAUCAAAAACAACUUUUUGACUGGAGUAGUUUUGUUUUACAUUGCUGUCCCACAGGGCACCUGAAAGGAGCACAGAACUCCAGACUCUGCUGCACUGUUGGGACUUCAGAGACUGGAAAUGCAGGUAACAGUGUUUGUCAGCGUGCAUCACGUAAAUAUUCUGGCUUCCUUUGUGCCUUUGCACCAACCUGGGAUCUGUUCUAUGGCAUUAUUUGGCUAAAAGAAAAACAACAACUCCCCUAUGCCACACCUCUCUCAAGCCAGGGGAAAAAACAAAAAAACAAAAAAAAGCCCAACCAAACAAACAAACAAGAAAACCCACCACACACACACACACAAAAAACCCAGAAACCAAAGAAACAAACAAACAAAAAAACCGAAAACAACAACAACAACAAAAACACCCAAUGACAAGAAAACACACACACAAAAAAACAAGCACAAAUAAAACCCAAAAAAACCUGAGAAUCGUAGAAUCGUAGAAUCACAGAAUCAUUUAGGUUGGAAAAAACCCUUCUGAUCGUCAAGUCCAACCAGAAACCUAACUCUGCCAAGUCCACCAUGAAACCA